CAGCCGCCACGGGAAUACAGAGGGUGCAAGCGUUAAUCGGAUUUACUGGGCGUAAAGGGCGCGUAGGUGGUUAUUUAAGUGAGAUGUGAAAGCCCCGGGCUUAACCUGGGAACUGCAUCUUAUACUGGGUAACUGGAGUGCAGUAGAGGGUAGUGGAAUUUCCGGUGUAGCGGUGAAAUGCGUAGAUAUCGGAAGGAACACCAGUGGCGAAGGCGGCUACCUGGACUGAGACUGACACUGAGGCGCGAGAGCGUGGGGAGCAAACAGGAUUAGAUACCCCUGUAGUCCCUGUCUCUUAUAC
RNAcentral lists this ribosomal RNA (301 nucleotides) under uncultured bacterium. RNAcentral describes it as "partial 16S ribosomal RNA". It matches the Rfam family "Bacterial small subunit ribosomal RNA", at positions 509 to 807 of the family's 1533-position model. The record is from RNAcentral.